This 107-nucleotide ribosomal RNA is filed under the name Pogona vitticeps (central bearded dragon). Lineage: Eukaryota; Metazoa; Chordata; Lepidosauria; Squamata; Agamidae. The record is from RNAcentral.
ACUGGAAUAUCCUAAACACAUCUGGUCUCAUCAGAUUUCAGAAGCUAAGCAAGGUUGAGCCUAGCUAGUUCUUGAAUCAGAGACUACCAGGCAAUAAAUCUCCAGUU